Molecule: non-coding RNA, 26 nt
Filed under: Rattus norvegicus (Norway rat)
Lineage: Eukaryota; Metazoa; Chordata; Mammalia; Rodentia; Muridae
Source: RNAcentral
UCCGCCUUUCUUGGCUCCAUGUGCUC